RNAcentral lists this ribosomal RNA (2025 nucleotides) under Triticum aestivum (bread wheat). RNAcentral's name for it is "partial small subunit ribosomal RNA". Lineage: Eukaryota; Viridiplantae; Streptophyta; Magnoliopsida; Poales; Poaceae. The record is from RNAcentral.
AUGACCAAGGCAGCGCCUAUGCCGCCCCGGCGGCGGCGAUGGCCGGCGUACUUGCUCGCCGCCGCGGUCGUCCUUGCCGUCGUCACCGCCGCGCGGGCGCAGGAUUACAAUAAUGGCGAUGACGAGGAGGAGAAGCCUAAGCCGCAGCUCAAGGCGCAGGAGGCGUGCAACGGCGCGUUCCUGUCGUACACGUUCAUUGAGCGCACCAAGGAGUUCCCGCACCUCAAGAAUGCGACGGCGCAGGCGUACGCGUUCAAGGCGCAGGCCACGGUGCUCAACACCAUGACGACGGACCUCAAGGCGUGGCAGAUGUUCGUCGGGUUCCAGCAGCAGGAGAUCCUCGUGUCCGUCAGCGGCGCCGUGCUCCUCGACGGCACCGACUUCCCCGCCAACGUCUCCGGCGGCGUUACAUUUGCGGGAUACCCGAUGGCCGACCUCCUCAACUCCAUCGACACCGCCGGCGACCUGACGCAGAUACAGGUCCAGAUGGACAUCACCGGCACGCAGUUCGGCGUCAAGCCCCCCGGCAAGCCCAUGCCCAAGACCAUCAAGCUCACCAAUCCCGGCUACCGAUGCCCCGCGCCCACCCACAAAGAUAGCGUGAUGUACGUGUGCUGCGUCAAGGACCCCAAGUUCAAGGCGAAGAAGGCCAACAGCACGCGGUACCUGCCACGGCAGAAGGCCGACCUGACCAUGGCGUACGACGUGCUGACGUCGUACGGCAACAAGUACGUCGCGCAGGUGACCAUCGACAACUGGAGCCCCAUGAGCCGGCUGGACAACUGGAACCUCACCUGGGAGUGGAAGCGCGGCGAGUUCAUCGAGAAGAUGCGCGGCGCCUACACGCUGCUCAAGGAAGGCCCCGCCUGCGUCUACAGCCCGGCGGCGAGCUACUACAAGGACUUCGACUUCACGCCCGUGUACAACUGCGAGAAGCGGCCGGUCAUCGUCGACCUCCCGCCGGACCGGGAGAAGGACAACGACGUGGGCAACCUGCCCUUCUGCUGCAAGAACGGCACGCUGCUGCCGCCCAUCAUGGACGAGUCCAAGUCGCGGGCCAUCUUCCAGCUCACGGUGUUCAAGAUGCCGCCGGACCUCAACCGGACGGCGCUCUACCCGCCGUCCAACUGGAAGAUCACCGGGAAGCUCAACCCGCACUACGUGUGCCGGCAGCCCAUCCGGGUGAGCCCCAUGGAGUUCCCAGACGGGUCGGGGCUCAUGUCGACGACCCCCGCCGUGGCGUCGUGGCAGGUGGCGUGCCACAUGACCCGCCCCAAGAAGCGCGCCUCCAAGUGCUGCGUCUCCUUCUCGGCCUACUACAACGACUCCACGGUGCCCUGCAACACCUGCGCCUGCGGCUGCGGCAACGACACCGCCACGUGCGACGCGGACGCCCACCCCAUCCUGCUGCCGUCGGAGGCCAUGCUCGUGCCCUUCGACAACCGCACGGCCAAGGCCCGGGCGUGGGCCAAGAUCAAGCACUGGCGCGUGCCCAACCCGAUGCCCUGCGGCGACAACUGCGGCGUCAGCAUCAACUGGCACGUCAUGAACAACUACAAGUCCGGCUGGUCGGUGCGCAUGACCAUCUUCAACUGGCAGGACUACACGUUCAAGAACUGGUUCGCCGCAGUCAAAAUGGGCCAGCACUAUGGCGGCUACGAGAACGUCUACUCCUUCAAUGGUACCAGGCUGGACGCGCCCUUCAACAACACCAUAUUCAUGCAGGCCCUGCCGGGGCUUGAAUUCCUUGAGCCCAUCACCGACGGCAGAACGUCGGCGUACCCGAGGCUGCCCGGGAAGCAGCAGUCCGUCAUCUCGUUCAAGAAGAAGGACGUGCCAAACAUCAACAUCCCCAAAGGAGGAGGCUUCCCCAAGCGGGUGUACUUCGACGGCGAGGAGUGCGCGCUCCCCCACAAGUUACCGUCGAGUGCACGCCGGCGGGCAGGGGCUCCCAGCCUCUUGCAGGCUGUCACCGGGGUGGUUCUUGUGGUGAUUGUUGCUCUUGUGGACUCCUCGUGCUUAUGA